UCUGAACUAUGUUUUAUAAAGUUCUGGGUAGAUAGAUGAUUUUGACAAUUUCUACCCAUUAGUCUUGACCAAGUCACGUGCCAGCAGUCGCGGUAAUACGUGGAAGACAAGUGUUAUUCAUCUUUAUUGGGUUUAAAGGGUACCUAGACGGCCGAUAAAGCCUAAAUAUAAAAAUUAGAGGGACUAAUUGGCUAGAGUUUUAUGUGAGGAGGAUAGGGUACCAAGAGCGUAGAGAUGAAAUUCAAUGAUCCCUUUCAGGAACCGANNNNGUAUGUUGUUUAAUUUGAUGAUCCACGGAAAACCUUACCACUACUUGAAUGUUUAUAUAUAAUAUAUAUUUAUACAGGAGUUGCACGGCUGUCUUCAGUUGAUGUCGUGAGAUUUUGGUUAGUUCCAUUAAAUCAACGUAAGCCCUCACUUUAUUUUUUAUAUAAAGUAGCUCACCGCUAUAUUGGAUGUGAUA
Molecule: ribosomal RNA, 463 nt
Filed under: Odontotrema cassiopes
Lineage: Eukaryota; Fungi; Ascomycota; Lecanoromycetes; Ostropales; Odontotremataceae
Description: SSU rRNA
Rfam family: Bacterial small subunit ribosomal RNA
Source: RNAcentral